UACAGAGGUCUCAAGCGUUGUUCGGAAUUAUUGGGCGUAAAGGGUGCGUAGGCGGUUCGGUCAGUUGGGUAUGAAAAGUCGAGGCUCAACCUCGAAAUUGCACCCAAUACUACCGGGCUAGAGUACUGCAUAGGAAGCUGGAACUUACGGUGUAGCAGUGAAAUGCGUAGAUAUCGUAAAGAAGACCAGAGGCGAAAGCGAGCUUCUAGGCAGUUACUGACGCUCAUGCACGAAAGCCAAGGUAGCAAACGGG
This 253-nucleotide ribosomal RNA is filed under the name uncultured bacterium. RNAcentral's name for it is "partial 16S ribosomal RNA". It matches the Rfam family "Bacterial small subunit ribosomal RNA", at positions 524 to 776 of the family's 1533-position model. The record is from RNAcentral.